Molecule: RNA transcript, 2022 nt
Organism: Folsomia candida
Lineage: Eukaryota; Metazoa; Arthropoda; Collembola; Entomobryomorpha; Isotomidae
Gene name: histone acetyltransferase p300
Exons: 5
Source: RefSeq, a predicted model, not a curated record
GUUGAACUCAACUUACAGUAGAGUUCAAUCCAUUUCUACUUGGAGUGUUGGCUCUGCCACCACCACCGCCGCACAAUAUCGGAGGAAAUACCGGGGCAAAAUCCAAGUGGACUUUCAUUGAACUGAGACACAGUGUGUUUCAGUUCAGCACUUGGACAAGAUGAAAAGGGGUUUAUUUAUGUAAAAUUUAUGAUAUCGUGUAAAUCCUAGACAUUAUAUUACCAUAAAUACAAAAGAUUCAAAUAAGCAUGGGACCCACAAUUACAAUUUACAAGAUGAUGAGCAGGUAUCCAAGUUUGCAGGCAAAUAGUCUCAGGUUGACUCGUAUCACGUACGUGAGAACUAAAGCAGAGGCAGAGAAGACGAGGAAAUAUACGCACACUUUUUGCUCUUCAUUCAUCUGUCGUUGUUUGGUAGGGCUGGCGAGAACACGUUUUUCAUCCUCAACGUUGUCGCGAUAAACUUCCAGUCAUUCGUAAAAAUAGUGUCGUUACGGAAGGAAUUAAUGGAAGUCUAAAUAAAUAAAUAGUUAUUUUUAUAGCAAUUGGAACUUUACAAAGUGUUUUUGACAAGUGAGUUGCAGUAGAGUUUAGUUAAAUUUAGACAUUUGUGACACAAUGAUUGAUUUUAAUUUCAUAAAUUUAAGAGAAAGGUGUAUUUUCAGUUGUUAAGUGAAGAGGACAUUGCAUUGUUGAAAAGGAGUAAAAUUGAGAGUCAGAAUUUGUUGCUGGGAAUUUGAGACAUUCGGUUUUUAAGUUUUUAAAUAUCUCACAAUGAAACUACCCCCGCCAUCCCCGGGUAAAAAUAUGUUGAAGACGCUGAUCAAGACUCCAGUGACCAGGGGGUUACAACCACCUUCCGGCCACGCAGUGCCUGAGAUAGUGACACCCACUCCAAGUAUUGCCCCCUCAAUUCCCUCAUCGGCGCAAUCCAUUGAGCAGAAACGAAUUCUAAUAAGGAAGCAGCUCGUCAUUCUGCUUCAUGCGAUUGUGUGCAGGCGAAGGGAACAUCGAAACAGAAUGAGGGAUCCGACAUUCUCAUCCCCGCCUUGCAACGUUCCUUUCUGCGGUCUCAUGAAGACUACUCAAAUUCACCUGAACGCUUGUAAAGAGGGAGAAGCGUGCAGAUUUAAUCACUGCGCUUCGUCAAGACAAAUCUUGAUUCACUGGAAAUACUGCGUAAAAGCAGAAUGUCCCGUGUGCGUAUCGCUAAGGAGAGUCGUUCCAACAAGCUUACUUCAGAUCUUUCCGAAUCCGUUGUGUCGAGCGGAGAUCAUGCAAAGAGUCGCCAGACAGCAGCAAGGUACCAAUCAUGGAGAAGACCAAGCGGUCCCGGAACUUAUGGAGUCCGAAGAAUGAUCAUCAUAACUGAAUUUACCGUUCCUGUAUUUAUUUACAAAAAGUGAUUUAUUUUUUGUGUACAUAUAAAUAUCCACAAUUCUUUACCACUUUUCUGACACGAAAUUUUCCAGUUUUUGUUGAAAAUGCUUUAAAAUCCAAUUAUAGUAGCGUUAUGAAUUAUAUUUGCUGUUGUAGUCAAGUUUUCGACAAAUUUAAUUUUCCUUUAUUUAUUGAUUCAGUUUUGAAAACGAUUGACUAAAUGCAAUUAAUGAAUAACAUGCCAACGUUUAUUUACAUUUAUCAACGUUUUCAACCUAACGGAAGCGAUUCCAAGAAACGAAUGUGUCAUAAAAAGUAUGAUUAUGAUAUUAUUUAUCAUUAAAUCAAUAGUUAUUAUUCAUGAAAAUGCAUCAUUUCCUACCAUUCAGUAAGUAAUACUGUAAGACAUGAGAUUUUGUAGAUCAAUUGUGUGUUCAAGGCGUGAAUUUUUAUGUAUCUAUCAUCUUAUUAUUAGAGAAGAAAAAGGCGUUUUAGUAUUAGAGAGAGAGAAAGCACUGAAUUAUGUAUCUGAUUUAUUGUACGGUUAUUGACCCAUGAUUUAAACAUUUCGUUCCAAAAUUACUUGAAAUGUAUGAAUAAAAUCCUUAUCGUGAACAUUCACUUUAAAGAUAAGAUUAUGAGA